GUGGCCACUCCGAAUUCCCUCACAGCUCCAAGCCCACUAUGGUUGGGGAUUUCCUGCGUGGAUGAAAAUAAAAUGGGUGAGUUUGGGGAAACUCAGUGUGUAAGGAAAACCCAUUCAAAGCCCAAGUCAGCUCAAGCCUAUUGGGCCUAAGCCCAUUCAGGUAACAGUGGUACUGGACCAGAGCCCUUUUCAGAUUACAAUAAACUGGGCCUUAGCCCCUUAUUCAGAUAACAGUAUGGCCCAUAGGCCCAUUUCAAAAUACAUGCAACAUCAAUAACAUAUGCAAGCCCAUUUGGGGAGACUACUCAACCCACCAACCACUACACUCCACCCGUACCAGCC
RNAcentral lists this long non-coding RNA (342 nucleotides) under Gossypium barbadense (sea-island cotton). RNAcentral's name for it is "long non-coding RNA (GBAR_LNC006048)". Lineage: Eukaryota; Viridiplantae; Streptophyta; Magnoliopsida; Malvales; Malvaceae. The record is from RNAcentral.